This 449-nucleotide ribosomal RNA is filed under the name uncultured bacterium. RNAcentral's name for it is "partial 16S ribosomal RNA". It matches the Rfam family "Bacterial small subunit ribosomal RNA", at positions 29 to 523 of the family's 1533-position model. The record is from RNAcentral.
AACGAACGCUGGCGGCAUGCCUAACACAUGCAAGUCGAACGAGACCUUCGGGUCUAGUGGCGCACGGGUGCGUAACGCGUGGGAAUCUGCCCUCUGGUUCGGAAUAACUCAGGGAAACUUGAGCUAAUACCGGAUAAUGACUUCGGUCCAAAGAUUUAUCGCCUGAGGAUGAGCCCGCGUCGGAUUAGCUAGUUGGUGAGGUAAAGGCUCACCAAGGCGACGAUCCGUAGCUGGGCUGAGAGGAUGAUCAGCCACACUGGGACUGAGACACGGCCCAGGCUCCUACGGGAGGCAGCAGUGGGGAAAAUUGGACAAUGGGCGAAAGCCUGAUCCAGCAAUGCCGCGUGAGUGAUGAAGGCCUUAGGGUUGUAAAGCUCUUUUACCCGGGAUGAAAAUGACAGUACCGGGAGAAUAAGCCCCGGCUAACUCCGUGCCAGCCGCCGCAGUAA